Molecule: unclassified non-coding RNA, 354 nt
Filed under: soil metagenome
Description: partial contains 5.8S ribosomal RNA, internal transcribed spacer 2, and large subunit ribosomal RNA
Rfam family: 5.8S ribosomal RNA (bases 1-120)
Source: RNAcentral
GAUGAAGAACGUAGCGAAAUGCGAUAAGUAGUGUGAAUUGCAGAAUUCAGUGAAUCAUCGAAUCUUUGAACGCACAUUGCGCCUCCUGGUAUUCCUGGAGGCAUGCCUGUUCGAGCGUCAUUAAAAUCACUCAAGCUUAGGUUUACCUAUUGCUUGGUCUUGGAGAUGGAAGCCAAUUUAUUGGAAUCCUCUUCGAAAUUCAAUGGCGAAGACCCUUGCUCUCCCAAGUGUAGUAAUAACUUAUGUCACUGAAGGAAGCGAGAAAUCUUCUGCCGUAACCCCCAUAUUUUCUAUGAUUGACCUCGGAUCAGGUAGGGAUACCCGCCGAACUUAAGCAUAUCAAUAAGCGGAGGA